Molecule: long non-coding RNA, 515 nt
Filed under: Rattus norvegicus (Norway rat)
Lineage: Eukaryota; Metazoa; Chordata; Mammalia; Rodentia; Muridae
Description: long non-coding RNA NONRATT002975
Source: RNAcentral
CAGACACCUUUACAAACAGCCAGACACACCCUGUGGGGACUGAGCUCAGAAGCCAGCUGAGUGUCAGCCCCUUUCCCACUGGAGUUGCAAGGAAGGCCAAGCCCUGCUUGCCAGUUACAGCCUUCAGCACACUCUCUUAGACAGCUCUCUUCAUUUGCAGAUCAGCGGUCUGAGCGCUACAUUUGCUGAGAUUUUCCUGGAAAUACUCCAAAUCAAUCUUCCAGAAGGAGUCAGAUUGUCAGUGAGGGAGCACACUGAAGAAGACUUCAAGGGAAGGUUCAAAGCUCGGCCAGAACUGGAAGAAUUGUUGGCCAAGUUGAACUAAAUGCUCCCUUCAUGGAAUUGUUGGUGUCAGAGAAGCUCCUCUUGCAAGAUCAGAGUUAAGGAGGAGCAUGAAUGCUCACACUGGGAAUGCCUUCUUGCGUCUGUGACAGCCGUGUUUGAAGUUACCACUUCCCUCAACAAGACGUCGGGCAUUCUCCACCUAAUAAACAUCUGCUGUUGCCACACUGUGU